AAAUCAGUUAUCGUUUAUUUGAUAGUACCUUACUACUUGGAUACCUGUGGUAAUUCUAGAGCUAAUACAUGCUAAAAACCCCGACUUCGGAAGGGGUGUAUUUAUUAGAUAAAAAACCAAUGCCCUUCGGGGCUCCUUGGUGAUUCAUAAUAACUUCUCAGAUCGCAUGGCCUUGCGCCGGCGACGGUUCAUUCAAAUUUCUGCCCUAUCAACUUUCGAUGGUAAGGUAUUGGCUUACCAUGGUUUCUACGGGUAACGGGGAAUUAGGGUUCGAUUCCGGAGAGUUAGCCUGAGAAACGGCUAACACAUCCAAGGAAGGCAGCAGGCGCGCAAAUUACCCAAUCCUGAUACAGGGAGGUAGUGACAAUAAAUACUGAUACAGGGCUCUUUUGGGUCUUGUAAUCGGAAUGAGUACAAUUUAAACCUCUUAACGAGGAACAAUUGGAGGGCAAGUCUGGUGCCAGCAGCCGCGGUAAUUCCAGCUCCAAUAGCGUAUAUUAAAGUUGUUGCAGUUAAAAAGCUCGUAGUUGAACCUUUGGCCUGGCUGGUAGGUCCGCCUCACCGCGUGCACUUGUCCGGCCGGGCCUUUUCUUCUGGAGAACCGCAUGCCCUUCACUGGGUGUGUUGGGGACCAGGACUUUUACUUUGAAAAAAUUAGAGUGUUCAAAGCAGGCCUUUGCUCGAAUAUUACAGCAUGGAAUAAUAAAAUAGGACGUGCGGUUCUAUUUUGUUGGUUUCUAGGACCGCCGUAAUGAUUAAUAGGGACAGUCGGGGGCAUCAGUAUUCAAUUGUCAGAGGUGAAAUUCUUGGAUUUAUUGAAGACUAACUACUGCGAAAGCAUUUGCCAAGGAUG
This 853-nucleotide ribosomal RNA is filed under the name Helminthosporium submersum. Its description in RNAcentral is "SSU rRNA". It matches the Rfam family "Eukaryotic small subunit ribosomal RNA", at positions 103 to 966 of the family's 1831-position model. Lineage: Eukaryota; Fungi; Ascomycota; Dothideomycetes; Pleosporales; Massarinaceae. The record is from RNAcentral.